AGUCGAACGGCAGCACAGAGGAGCUUGCUCCUUGGGUGGCGAGUGGCGGACGGGUGAGGAAAACGUCGGAAUCUGCCUAUUUGUGGGGGAUAACGUAGGGAAACUUACGCUAAUACCGCAUACGACCUACGGGUGAAAGCGGAGGACCUUCGGGCUUCGCGCAGAUAGAUGAGCCGACGUCGGAUUAGCUAGUUGGCGGGGUAAAGGCCCACCAAGGCGACGAUCCGUAGCUGGUCUGAGAGGAUGAUCAGCCACACUGGAACUGAGACACGGUCCAGACUCCUACGGGAGGCAGCAGUGGGGAAUAUUGGACAAUGGGCGCAAGCCUGAUCCAGCCAUGCCGCGUGUGUGAAGAAGGCCUUCGGGUUGUAAAGCACUUUUGUCCGGAAAGAAAAGUUCUCGGUUAAUACCCGGGGAUUAUGACGGUACCGGAAGAAUAAGCACCGGCUAACUUCGUGCCAGCAGCCGCGGUAAUACGAAGGGUGCAAGCGUUACUCGGAAUUACUGGGCGUAAAGCGUGCGUAGGUGGUUUGUUAAGUCUGAUGUGAAAGCCCUGGGCUCAACCUGGGAAUGGCAUUGGAAACUGGCUGACUAGAGUGCGGUAGAGGGUAGUGGAAUUCCCGGUGUA
RNAcentral lists this ribosomal RNA (628 nucleotides) under Lysobacter capsici. Its description in RNAcentral is "bacterial SSU rRNA". It matches the Rfam family "Bacterial small subunit ribosomal RNA", at positions 60 to 677 of the family's 1533-position model. The record is from RNAcentral. Lineage: Bacteria; Pseudomonadati; Pseudomonadota; Gammaproteobacteria; Lysobacterales; Lysobacteraceae.